RNAcentral lists this ribosomal RNA (497 nucleotides) under uncultured bacterium. RNAcentral describes it as "partial 16S ribosomal RNA". It matches the Rfam family "Bacterial small subunit ribosomal RNA", at positions 28 to 507 of the family's 1533-position model. The record is from RNAcentral.
GAUGAACGCUGGCGGCGUGCCUAAUACAUGCAAGUCGAGCGAACGGACGAGAAGCUUGCUUCUCUGAUGUUAGCGGCGGACGGGUGAGUAACACGUGGAUAACCUACCUAUAAGACUGGUAUAACUUCGGGAAACCGGAGCUAAUACCGGAUAAUAUUUUGAACCGCAUGGUUCAAAAGUGAAAGACGGUCUUGCUGUCACUUAUAGAUGGAUCCGCGCUGCAUUAGCUAGUUGGUAAGGUAACGGCUUACCAAGGCAACGAUGCAUAGACGACCUGAGAGGGUGAUAGGCCACACUGGAACUGAGACACGGUCAAGACUCCUACGGGAGGCAGCAGUAGGGAAUCUUCCGCAAUGGGGGAAAGCCUGACGGAGCAACGGCGAGUGAGUGAUGAAGGUCUUCGGAUCGUAAAACUCUGUUAUUAGGGAAGAACAUAUGUGUAAGUAAAUGUGCACAUCUUGACGGUAACUAAUAAGAAAGCCACGGCUAACUACGUG